UGUUUCGGCUAGGGGGCCAUCCCGGCUUACCAACCCGAUGCAAACUGCGAAUACCGGAGAAUGUUAUCACGGGAGACACACGGCGGGUGCUAACGUCCGUCGUGAAGAGGGAAACAACCCAGACCGCCAGCUAAGGUCCCAAAGUCAUGGUUAAGUGGGAAACGAUGUGGGAAGGCCCAGACAGCCAGGAUGUUGGCUUAGAAGCAGCCAUCAUUUAAAGAAAGCGUAAUAGCUCACUGGUCGAGUCGGCCUGCGCGGAAGAUGUAACGGGGCUAAACCAUGCACCGAAGCUGCGGCAGCGACACUGUGUGUUGUUGGGUAGGGGAGCGUUCUGUAAGCCUGUGAAGGUGUGCUGUGAGGCAUGCUGGAGGUAUCAGAAGUGCGAAUGCUGACAUAAGUAACGAUAAAGCGGGUGAAAAGCCCGCUCGCCGGAAGACCAAGGGUUCCUGUCCAACGUUAAUCGGGGCAGGGUGAGUCGACCCCUAAGGCGAGGCCGAAAGGCGUAGUCGAUGGGAAACGGGUUAAUAUUCCCGUACUUGGUGUUACUGCGAAGGGGGGACGGAGAAGGCUAUGUUGGCCGGGCGACGGUUGUCCCGGUUUAAGCGUGUAGGUGUGUGUUCCAGGUAAAUCCGGUUCACUUUAACACUGAGGCGUGAUGACGAGGCACUACGGUGCUGAAGCAACAAAUGCCCUGCUUCCAGGAAAAGCCUCUAAGCAUCAGGUAACAUCAAAUCGUACCCCAAACCGACACAGGUGGUCAGGUAGAGAAUACCAAGGCGCUUGAGAGAACUCGGGUGAAGGAACUAGGCAAAAUGGUGCCGUAACUUCGGGAGAAGGCACGCUGACACGUAGGUGAAGUGAUUUACUCACGGAGCUGAAGUCAGUCGAAGAUACCAGCUGGCUGCAACUGUUUAUUAAAAACACAGCACUGUGCAAACACGAAAGUGGACGUAUACGGUGUGACGCCUGCCCGGUGCCGGAAGGUUAAUUGAUGGGGUCAGCGCAAGCGAAGCUCCUGAUCGAAGCCCCGGUAAACGGCGGCCGUAACUAUAACGGUCCUAAGGUAGCGAAAUUCCUUGUCGGGUAAGUUCCGACCUGCACGAAUGGCGUAAUGAUGGCCAGGCUGUCUCCACCCGAGACUCAGUGAAAUUGAACUCGCUGUGAAGAUGCAGUGUACCCGCGGCAAGACGGAAAGACCCCGUGAACCUUUACUAUAGCUUGACACUGAACAUUGAGCCUUGAUGUGUAGGAUAGGUGGGAGGCUUUGAAGCGUGGACGCCAGUCUGCGUGGAGCCGACCUUGAAAUACCACCCUUUAAUGUUUGAUGUUCUAACGUGGACCCGUGAUCCGGGUUGCGGACAGUGUCUGGUGGGUAGUUUGACUGGGGCGGUCUCCUCCUAAAGAGUAACGGAGGAGCACGAAGGUUGGCUAAUCCUGGUCGGACAUCAGGAGGUUAGUGCAAUGGCAUAAGCCAGCUUGACUGCGAGCGUGACGGCGCGAGCAGGUGCGAAAGCAGGUCAUAGUGAUCCGGUGGUUCUGAAUGGAAGGGCCAUCGCUCAACGGAUAAAAGGUACUCCGGGGAUAACAGGCUGAUACCGCCCAAGAGUUCAUAUCGACGGCGGUGUUUGGCACCUCGAUGUCGGCUCAUCACAUCCUGGGGCUGAAGUAGGUCCCAAGGGUAUGGCUGUUCGCCAUUUAAAGUGGUACGCGAGCUGGGUUUAGAACGUCGUGAGACAGUUCGGUCCCUAUCUGCCGUGGGCGCUGGAGAACUGAGGGGGGCUGCUCCUAGUACGAGAGGACCGGAGUGGACGCAUCACUGGUGUUCGGGUUGUCAUGCCAAUGGCACUGCCCGGUAGCUAAAUGCGGAAGAGAUAAGUGCUGAAAGCAUCUAAGCACGAAACUUGCCCCGAGAUGAGUUCUCCCUGAGACUACGAGUCUCCUGAAGGAACGUUGAAGACGACGACGUUGAUAGGCCGGGUGUGUAAGCGCAGCGAUGCGUUGAGCUAACCGGUACUAAUGAACCGUGAGGCUUAACCUUAC
RNAcentral lists this ribosomal RNA (2040 nucleotides) under Salmonella enterica. Its description in RNAcentral is "partial 23S ribosomal RNA". It matches the Rfam family "Bacterial large subunit ribosomal RNA", at positions 911 to 2925 of the family's 2925-position model. Lineage: Bacteria; Pseudomonadati; Pseudomonadota; Gammaproteobacteria; Enterobacterales; Enterobacteriaceae. The record is from RNAcentral. RNAcentral also lists the same sequence under 2 other names.